Long non-coding RNA from Spea bombifrons (plains spadefoot toad), 418 nucleotides. RefSeq lists it as uncharacterized. NCBI's taxonomy places the organism in Eukaryota, Metazoa, Chordata, Amphibia, Anura, Pelobatidae. The record is from RefSeq and is a predicted model, not a curated record. The transcript is spliced from 2 exons.
ACUGCUACGGCUUUUACUUUACUGUGUAGUUUAAAUCUAACAACGGCUGCAAUCGACUAUAACGUGUAGCUUAUGCUUUGGGGGGUUAAGGGCAGUACCCAUCUUACCGUGAAGGGAGGUACCCACUGUACUAUGGGGGAGGGGCUAAGGGCAGUACCCACCAUACCAGGGGGGAACCGUAUCAUGUAAUUAUGUGUCACAAAUAACCUCCUAAGUAACGUGACCAAACGGCCAGUGCUGGAAGCUGGUCAGCUUUAUUUUUAGUGGGAAUUAUGAAAAUCUGUCCUGGAUUUUAUUUUGGUUUAAGUUUCAGGUAAUUUGUCCGAUGUGAUUUACAUUUCCUGGUGAAUUAUUUUAUUCCUUUAAAAAAAAAAUGAUGGCUGAAAAGAUGCUGAUCAAUAAAUUGUUUUUCAUGCUA